This 408-nucleotide ribosomal RNA is filed under the name Anomaloglossus baeobatrachus group sp. ABGD cluster 2. RNAcentral's name for it is "partial large subunit ribosomal RNA". It matches the Rfam family "Bacterial large subunit ribosomal RNA", at positions 1834 to 2433 of the family's 2925-position model. Lineage: Eukaryota; Metazoa; Chordata; Amphibia; Anura; Aromobatidae. The record is from RNAcentral.
UUGAUUAAACCAUAAGAGGUCCAGCCUGCCCAGUGACAUUGUUCAACGGCCGCGGUAUCCUAACCGUGCGAAGGUAGCGUAAUCACUUGUCCUUUAAAUGAAGACUAGUAUGAAUGGCCCCACGAAAGCUAUACUGUCUCCUUUUUCUAAUCAGUUAAACUAAUCUCCCCGUGAAGAAGCGGGGAUAAACAUAUAAGACGAGAAGACCCUAUGGAGCUUCAAACAACUGAAACACUUGUAUAUCCUCCCCUCACCUACCAACAUUUAACCUCACAUUUUGUUUCUAGUUUUAGGUUGGGGUGACCACGGAGAAAAAACUAACCUCCACGACGAAAGAGACAUCUCUAAACAAAAAGCUACAUCUUUAUGUAUUAACACAUUAACCUUUAUUGACCCAAUAAAUUGAUC